GUGGGGAAUAUUGGACAAUGGGCGAAAGCCUGAUCCAGGCAUGCCGCGUGUGUGAAGAAGGUCUUCGGAUUGUAAAGCACUUUAAGUUGGGAGGAAGGGCAGUAAGUUAAUACCUUGCUGUUUUGACGUUACCGACAGAAUAAGCACCGGCUAACUUCGUGCCAGCAGCCGCGGUAAUACGAAGGGUGCAAGCGUUAAUCGGAAUUACUGGGCGUAAAGCGCGCGUAGGUGGUUUUGUAAGUUGGAGGUGAAAUCCCCGGGCUCAACCUGGGAACUGCCUCCAAAACUGCAUGACUAGAGUACGGUAGAGGGUAGUGGAAUUUCCUGUGUAGCGGUGAAAUGCGUAGAUAUAGGAAGGAACACCAGUGGCGAAGGCGACUACCUGGACUGAUACUGACACUGAGGUGCGAAAGCGUGGGGAGCAAACAGGAUUAGAAACCCUAGUAGUCC
RNAcentral lists this ribosomal RNA (450 nucleotides) under uncultured bacterium. Its description in RNAcentral is "bacterial SSU rRNA". It matches the Rfam family "Bacterial small subunit ribosomal RNA", at positions 354 to 796 of the family's 1533-position model. The record is from RNAcentral.